GGGGCUGUAGUGUAGCCUGGUUCAUAUGGUAGGUUAAUUAAUUUUAAUUUAUAUAUGCAGCAACUAUCACUAGUGGUUUGGGACCGCUGAACCCCGGUUCGAAUCCGGGCAGCCCCA
Molecule: transfer RNA, 117 nt
Filed under: archaeon
Lineage: Archaea
Description: tRNA-Pro
Rfam family: tRNA
About the family: Transfer RNA (tRNA) molecules are approximately 80 nucleotides in length. Their secondary structure includes four short double-helical elements and three loops (D, anti-codon, and T loops). Further hydrogen bonds mediate the characteristic L-shaped molecular structure. tRNAs have two regions of fundamental functional importance: the anti-codon, which is responsible for specific mRNA codon recognition, and the 3' end, to which the tRNAs corresponding amino acid is attached (by aminoacyl-tRNA synthetases). tRNAs cope with the degeneracy of the genetic code in two manners: having more than one tRNA (with a specific anti-codon) for a particular amino acid; and 'wobble' base-pairing, i.e. permitting non-standard base-pairing at the 3rd anti-codon position.
Source: RNAcentral